Molecule: microRNA precursor, 103 nt
Filed under: Marmota monax (woodchuck)
Lineage: Eukaryota; Metazoa; Chordata; Mammalia; Rodentia; Sciuridae
Source: RNAcentral
UAGGAAAUGGCUGGGUUAUAUGGUAGGAAUGUGUUUAACUUAAAAAGAAACUGCCAAACUGUUUUCCAAAGUGGUUUUGUCAUUUUAGAUUUCCAUUGGCAGU